Bradysia coprophila is the source of this 758-nucleotide long non-coding RNA. The record is from RefSeq and is a predicted model, not a curated record. NCBI's taxonomy places the organism in Eukaryota, Metazoa, Arthropoda, Insecta, Diptera, Sciaridae.
CGCACUUUUUGGUAAAAUUUCCUCUUACGGCUAGCGAAAUCAGCUUUAACCGACUCCAGAUAUACGUAAUUAUUGUAAGAAAUGCUUCAAAUAACUUAAACCACUUAUUUAUGAAGAAUGGAUAACAAUUCCACUCAUCCUAAAGGAACGGGCGCUUGAAGAUAGAUAAUAAAUUGAAAAUUUUGCCGUAGAGUGACCUUGCUGCAAACAAAAUGUCGUAACAGAUACUUGGUGUGAGACUGCAGGCUGUUCAGGUAUUAUUGUUUUGUUGCAAGAAUACUUGUAUAUUACAGAGAAGUUCAAGUUUCGCCGAGGAUGAUGAAAAUAAACUUUUUCAAAUUUUAUAAAAUUCAGACAAAUUUCGUAAAAUCCAUUCUCGGCGUUAAAUAGAGCAUGGAAUCCUCUACCAAUAUCACCAUUCAAAGAGUUUCAAACUCUCUUCAUCUUGUACAUAUCACCAUUUAAAAAUGUCGACUUUUCGACUUUAGCUGGCUGUAGCUACGUGGUCAGGUUGUCGAGGGAAGCCAUUUCAGCACGAAUUAGCUUAGAAUUAGUCCCUAUAUCCAUUGCGAUAACAAUCUGUAUUCAAAUUGACAAGUCGGUUCCGCACGGCCAUGAGUGCCGGUUCUCUGAAACGGCUGGUUGGAUCCGCGAACUGAAUGCGGUUCCUUAUAGUACUCGAGUCCCUCAAUAAGAACAUGAAGAAAAAUCAGAGGUGGUGUCGCGACUCUAUUUAAGUUUUGUUCAACCUCACCGUG